RNAcentral lists this ribosomal RNA (419 nucleotides) under uncultured prokaryote. RNAcentral's name for it is "bacterial SSU rRNA". It matches the Rfam family "Archaeal small subunit ribosomal RNA", at positions 455 to 873 of the family's 1478-position model. The record is from RNAcentral.
GUGUCAGCAGCCGCGGUAAUACCAGCUCCCCGAGUGGUCGGGACGGUUAUUUGGCCUAAAGCAUCCGUAGCCCGUCCUGCAAGUCUUCCGUUAAAUCUAACGGCUCAACCGUUAGGCUGCGAAAGAUACCGCAGGACUAGGGGACGGGAGAGGCGGACGGUACUCCGGGGGUAGGGGUAAAAUCCUCUGAUCCUCGGAAGACCACCAGCGGCGAAGGCGGUCCGCCAGAACGUGCCCGACGGUGAGGGAUGAAAGCUGGGGGAGCGAACCGGAUUAGAUACCCGGGUAGUCCCAGCUGUAAACGAUGCGAGCUAGGUGACAGAAUGGCCUAAGGGCCAUUCUGCUGCCGCAGGGAAGCCGUUAAGCUCGCCGCCUGGGGAGUACGGACGCAAGUCUGAAACUUAAAUGAAUUGACGGGG